This 199-nucleotide ribosomal RNA is filed under the name uncultured bacterium. RNAcentral's name for it is "partial 16S ribosomal RNA". It matches the Rfam family "Bacterial small subunit ribosomal RNA", at positions 328 to 539 of the family's 1533-position model. The record is from RNAcentral.
ACGCUCGACACCUACGGGUGGCAGCAGUGGGGAAUAUUGCACAAUGGGGGAAACCCUGAUGCAGCAACGCCGCGUGAAGGAAGACGGUUUUCGGAUUGUAAACUUCUGUUCUUAGUGAAGAUAGUGACGGUAGCUAAGGAGCAAGCCACGGCUAACUACGUGCCAGCAGCCGCGGUAAUCUGAGGCGGGCUGGCAAGGC